Molecule: ribosomal RNA, 464 nt
Filed under: uncultured bacterium
Lineage: Bacteria
Description: partial 16S ribosomal RNA
Rfam family: Bacterial small subunit ribosomal RNA
Source: RNAcentral
CCUACGGGGGGCAGCAGUAGGGAAUUUUCGUCAAUGGGCGCAAGCCUGAACGAGCAAUGCCGCGUGAACGAGGAAGGUCUUCGGAUCGUAAAGUUCUGUUGAAGGGGAAAAAGAGCGGAGAGAGGAAAUGGUCUCCGAUUGAUAUUACCCUUCGAGGAAGUCACGGCUAACUACGUGCCAGCAGCCGCGGUAAUACGUAGGUGGCGAGCGUUAUCCGGAAUGAUUGGGUUUAAAGGGUGCGUAGGCGGGAUGCCAAGUCAGCGGUAAAAAUGCGGUGCUCAACGCCGUCGAGCCGUUGAAACUGGCGUUCUUGAGUGGGCGAGAAGUAUGCGGAAUGCGUGGUGUAGCGGUGAAAUGCAUAGAUAUCACGCAGAACUCCGAUUGCGAAGGCAGCAUACCGGCGCCCUACUGACGCUGAGGCACGAAAGCGUGGGUAUCGAACAGGAUUAGAUACCCGGGUAGUC